RNA transcript from Mus musculus (house mouse), 2067 nucleotides. It is a transcript of the gene named WD repeat domain 45, with no coding region annotated. The transcript has 12 exons. NCBI's taxonomy places the organism in Eukaryota, Metazoa, Chordata, Mammalia, Rodentia, Muridae. The record is from RefSeq and is marked validated.
GAGUUCAAUGCUUGGCCCGCUUCCGUUUGGGGGUGGGGGCAAGCCCUUUCCCGGGUUCCCUUAGACAGUCCUGCCUUUGGGCAGUCUUUUGUGCCUCCAGUCCCCUAAUCCGCCCUCAUUCUUUUUCCGGAACUUCCCUCGGAGGACUCUACUACUGCUCGGGAUGCUCCACAGGUCCGCCAAGUGGGUGAGAAGAGCCCUGGCUGGAGUCUCUGCCCAGAAUGAGUCACUUCCGUUCACAGACUCCCUCCUCCGGAAUCUGGCAAAGAAAAGUAUCAAAAUGGGGAGGAAGCCAGGCGUGGUGGCAUACGCCUAUAAUCCCAUCCCUCAGGAAGUGGAGGCUGGAGGACUGCUGGGAAUUGAAGGCCAGCCUGUGCUACAUAGGGAGUACCAGGACAGCCAGGGAUACAUAGCAAGACCCUAUCUCAAAACAAAAUAGACCAAGUGGAAGGCCGUCCUGAAUCAUGACUCAGCAGCCACUUCGAGGUGUGACCAGCCUACAUUUCAACCAAGACCAAAGCUGCUUUUGCUGCGCCAUGGAGACAGGCGUCCGGAUCUACAAUGUGGAGCCACUUAUGGAGAAGGGGCAUCUUGACCACGAGCAGGUAGGCAGCGUGGGCCUGGUAGAGAUGCUGCACCGAUCCAACCUGCUGGCCCUGGUGGGCGGUGGGAGCAGCCCCAAGUUCUCUGAGAUCUCAGUGAUAGGGCUGCUCUAGAAUGUGCUUUAUCAGCGAUCUGGUCCACAAGUACUCAUGCGGUAUGAGGCACACACUGACUAUUUGAUGAAAGCGGAAGCAAGUGGUUGAGAUCCUGUGAGGAGCAGGAGUGGGCACCCAGGCUGCCUGUCACCCUAAACUUUGGUCUUGCCAACCCACCCAUCUGCCUGGCAGUGCUGAUCUGGGACGAUGCCCGAGAAGGCAAGGACUCCAAGGACAAACUGGUGCUGGAGUUCACCUUCACCAAGCCAGUGCUGGCUGUGCGCAUGCGCCAUGACAAGAUCGUGAUUGUGCUGAGGAACCGCAUCUAUGUGUACUCCUUCCCUGACAGUCCAAGAAAGCUGUUUGAGUUUGACACUCGGGACAACCCCAAGGGGCUGUGUGACCUCUGUCCAAGCCUGGAGAAGCAGCUGCUCGUGUUUCCUGGACACAAGUGUGGAAGUCUGCAACUUGUGGAUCUCGCAAGCACAAAGCCUGGUACUUCGUCGGCGCCAUUCACUAUCAAUGCACAUCAGAGUGAUGUGGCCUGUGUGUCCCUGAACCAGCCAGGCACUGUAGUGGCGUCAGCCUCCCAGAAGGGCACCCUUAUUCGUCUCUUUGAUACCCAAUCCAAGGAAAAGCUGGUAGAGCUUCGAAGAGGCACCGACCCUGCCACCCUGUACUGCAUUAACUUCAGCCACGACUCCUCCUUCCUCUGUGCUUCCAGUGACAAGGGCACUGUCCACAUCUUCGCUCUUAAAGACACCCGCCUUAACCGCCGCUCUGCGCUGGCUCGUGUGGGCAAAGUGGGACCUAUGAUUGGGCAAUACGUGGACUCUCAGUGGAGCCUGGCCAGCUUUACUGUGCCUGCUGAGUCAGCCUGCAUCUGCGCCUUUGGUCGAAAUACUUCCAAGAAUGUCAAUUCUGUAAUUGCCAUCUGUGUAGAUGGGACCUUCCACAAAUAUGUCUUCACUCCUGAUGGAAACUGCAACAGAGAGGCCUUUGACGUGUACCUUGACAUCUGUGAUGACGAGGACUUCUAAAGCAUCCUGGCAGCUGUACUGGGAACCUACAGUACCGAUGGCCGGCCGAACUGAGUCUUGAGGGUGUUGAACCAGCCAGCAAGCAUAAAUGAGCCUUUCACUCUGCAUCAAACACAGCUGUGUCUAAAUAAACAGCUCGCUUCCACGAGCACUUUUUGUGACUGGAGUGCUAAAGGCCAGAGGACAGCUUAGUCUGUCCCUGGGCCUCCUAGUCUGGAAAACACCAGGGACCCAAAGGGAUUAUACUAAUCCAACCUAAGGAUUUAAAAAUAAUGGUUACCAGGAGAUAGUCUCUGUAAUGUAUAUGAAUAAAAGGCCUUUGAGUGGCA